This 861-nucleotide ribosomal RNA is filed under the name uncultured Chloroflexota bacterium. RNAcentral's name for it is "bacterial SSU rRNA". It matches the Rfam family "Bacterial small subunit ribosomal RNA", at positions 28 to 895 of the family's 1533-position model. The record is from RNAcentral. Lineage: Bacteria; Bacillati; Chloroflexota.
GAUAAACGCUGGCGGUGUGCUUUAUGCAUGCAAGUCGAACGGUACCGAUGAGCCAAGCUUGCUUGGAACAUCGGGAGAGUGGCAAACGGGUGAGUAACACGUAAGUAACCUGCCCCUAAGUAGGGGAUAACUCUGAGAAAUUGGAGCUAAUACCGUAGUGGUGGUGGAGGUAAGGCUUCAUCACUAAAGCCUUCGGGCGCUUGGGGAGGGGCUUGUGUCCGAUUAGCUAGUUGGUAGGGUAAUGGUUUACCAAGGCGAUGAUCGGUAGCUGGUCUGAGAGGACGAUCAGCCACACUGGGACUGAGAUACGGCCCAGACUCCUAUGGGAGGCAGCAGCAAGGAAUUUUGUGCAAUGGGCGAAAGCCUGACACAGCGACACCGCGUGAGGGAUGAAGGCCUUCGGGUUGUAAACCUCUUUUCUCAGGGAAGAAUAAUGACGGUACCUGAGGAAUAAGUCUCGGCUAACUACGUGCCAGCAGCCGCGGUAAUACGUAGGAGGCGAGCGUUAUCCGGAUUUACUGGGCGUAAAGAGGGCGUAGGCGGCUUUUCAAGUCGGGUGUAAAAUCUCCCCGCUUAACGGGGAGGGGUCAUCCGAUACUGUUAAGCUAGAGGGCAGCAGAGGGAGGUGGAAUUCCCGGUGGAGUGGUGAAAUGCGUAGAUAUCGGGAGGAACACCAGUGGCGAAGGCGGCCUCCUGGGCUGUUUCUGACGUUGAGGCCCGAAAGCGUGGGGAGCGAACAGGAUUAGAUACCCUGGUAGUCCACGCUGUUAACGAUGGAUACUGGGUAUAGGGAGUAUCGACCCUCUCUGUGCCGAAGCUAACGCGUUAAGUAUCCCGCCUGGGGACACGGCCGGCAAGGCU